UUGGCGGACGGGUGAGUAACGCGUGGGUAACCUGCCUUACACAGGGGGAUAACACUUAGAAAUAGGUGCUAAUACCGCAUGAGCGCACAGGACCGCAUGGUCGAGUGUGAAAAACUGAGGUGGUGUAAGAUGGACCCGCGUCUGAUUAGCCAGUUGGCAGGGUAACGGCCUACCAAAGCGACGAUCAGUAGCCGGCCUGAGAGGGCGGACGGCCACAUUGGGACUGAGACACGGCCCAAACUCCUACGGGAGGCAGCAG
Molecule: ribosomal RNA, 259 nt
Filed under: uncultured bacterium
Lineage: Bacteria
Description: partial 16S ribosomal RNA
Rfam family: Bacterial small subunit ribosomal RNA
Source: RNAcentral